RNAcentral lists this ribosomal RNA (917 nucleotides) under Staphylococcus aureus. Its description in RNAcentral is "bacterial SSU rRNA". It matches the Rfam family "Bacterial small subunit ribosomal RNA", at positions 32 to 930 of the family's 1533-position model. The record is from RNAcentral. Lineage: Bacteria; Bacillati; Bacillota; Bacilli; Caryophanales; Staphylococcaceae.
AACGCUGGCGGCGUGCCUAAUACAUGCAAGUCGAGCGAACGGACGAGAAGCUUGCUUCUCUGAUGUUAGCGGCGGACGGGUGAGUAACACGUGGAUAACCUACCUAUAAGACUGGGAUAACUUCGGGAAACCGGAGCUAAUACCGGAUAAUAUUUUGAACCGCAUGGUUCAAAAGUGAAAGACGGUCUUGCUGUCACUUAUAGAUGGAUCCGCGCUGCAUUAGCUAGUUGGUAAGGUAACGGCUUACCAAGGCAACGAUGCAUAGCCGACCUGAGAGGGUGAUCGGCCACACUGGAACUGAGACACGGUCCAGACUCCUACGGGAGGCAGCAGUAGGGAAUCUUCCGCAAUGGGCGAAAGCCUGACGGAGCAACGCCGCGUGAGUGAUGAAGGUCUUCGGAUCGUAAAACUCUGUUAUUAGGGAAGAACAUAUGUGUAAGUAACUGUGCACAUCUUGACGGUACCUAAUCAGAAAGCCACGGCUAACUACGUGCCAGCAGCCGCGGUAAUACGUAGGUGGCAAGCGUUAUCCGGAAUUAUUGGGCGUAAAGCGCGCGUAGGCGGUUUUUUAAGUCUGAUGUGAAAGCCCACGGCUCAACCGUGGAGGGUCAUUGGAAACUGGAAAACUUGAGUGCAGAAGAGGAAAGUGGAAUUCCAUGUGUAGCGGUGAAAUGCGCAGAGAUAUGGAGGAACACCAGUGGCGAAGGCGACUUUCUGGUCUGUAACUGACGCUGAUGUGCGAAAGCGUGGGGAUCAAACAGGAUUAGAUACCCUGGUAGUCCACGCCGUAAACGAUGAGUGCUAAGUGUUAGGGGGUUUCCGCCCCUUAGUGCUGCAGCUAACGCAUUAAGCACUCCGCCUGGGGAGUACGACCGCAAGGUUGAAACUCAAAGGAAUUGACGGGGACCCGCACAAGC